Molecule: small RNA, 28 nt
Filed under: Bombyx mori (domestic silkworm)
Lineage: Eukaryota; Metazoa; Arthropoda; Insecta; Lepidoptera; Bombycidae
Description: ovarian small RNA-12037
Source: RNAcentral
AGCACUAAUGAUAGCUUGAUGAGCUUGC